Molecule: unclassified non-coding RNA, 386 nt
Filed under: fungal sp.
Lineage: Eukaryota; Fungi
Description: partial internal transcribed spacer region
Rfam family: Eukaryotic small subunit ribosomal RNA (bases 1-46)
Source: RNAcentral
AAGUCGUAACAAGGUUUCCGUAGGUGAACCUGCGGAAGGAUCAUUAACACGUAUCCAAACGUUAGAAAAAUCCCUGGUAAAUCAUCGCCGAACAGUUUUCGAUUCAGGGACGUCUGCAAGAAGCGUGCAUGUUGUGCGUGUAAGUGGCCUGGCAUCCCCAAGCAGUUAGUGUCUGAAAGUGUCACUAACGUUAGUGUCUGAAAGUGUCACUAACAUGUGUAAGGAUGACGCAGUCACGAUCGUUGGAGGCCCACACGGCCGACGACCGGGUCACUGGGUGCAAGCCCCCUUAUCACACCCCUGCUCUAUCUAUGGUGAUCCUGCGGGAAGUCCUGCGGUCGAACGCCGAAACCGAACAACUGUUAACAAUGGAUAUCUUGGUUCUC